This is a long non-coding RNA of Ictalurus punctatus (channel catfish), 7135 nucleotides long. The record is from Ensembl. Lineage: Eukaryota; Metazoa; Chordata; Actinopteri; Siluriformes; Ictaluridae.
GUGGAUACCAUGGUGUGGUUAUAAAAAAGAGAAAAAGACAAUUUUUUUUUUUAAAUAAAAUUAAAAACUCCUGAAGGACAUCCUCCUCUGGCUGAUACUGGCAAAGAGAGAGAGAGAGAGAUUUUAGUUAUCAAACACUGUCUGACAGUGACUAAUAACAAGUGCUAAGGUGCACUCCUAAACACACACACACACACACACACACACACACCUUAUACUUUGAAUGCAAGCAUUAGUUUAAAUUCACUGAUAUCGUGUCAGGCCAAAAGAUUUAUUACAACCAUUAACAUUUGAAUAAUUAUUAGUGACAUUUGGCUACAUGUUGCUGACAGGACACGGGCUGAAUGGCGAUGCAUGGAGGCCCAUUAGGAGGUAGUUUAUAACACUGCAUUGCAUUGGUGUCGUUAACAAAAAACUGGCUAUCGCUAACAUUACAUGGAGCAUAAUAGCUGGUUUCACGGCUUCAAUGCCAGCUGCCUCAAACAAACAUAAUAUAGGACCGUCUUUCAGGUGCUUCGCCAAAUUCCAGGUGUUUCCUUGCUUUGUUUGAAAUGAACGAUAGCAUCGGUUGCCGGUGUGCUUUCCUCUUUUUACCUCUCAACAAGUCAGGGCGGAGCUAAACUUGCUAAGCUAAGCUAAACUUCUGUAGUUUUUCCCGUGUGCUUGUAGGCGUUGUUCUUCUUCUUCACCACUUUUGGACUGACUAAAACACUUGGGCCUAUUUGCUGCCCCCUUCAGUUCCGGAAGAAUUGCAACCUCAGUACCUUCAUUAUCAAGGGUACUUAUACUACUGCAGAAAAAGAAGUACCAUCACGUUUUAAGAAUGUUGGUACUGACUUGGUACCGAAGUAUCGGUUCUCGUGACAGCCCUAAUAAGGAAAACAUAUCUUAUAUUAGGACCAAUAUGGUAAUGUUGACCCCUAGAUGCGUAACAUAGCAUGGGUACCAUGUGUAGCGGUAAUUAGCAUUUCAUAGCCCCAUAAGCCAUAUUAGAAUUAGUAAUGAGUUUUAUGUUCAAUAAACAUUGACGAUCUUAGAAUUUUGAUUUACUAACUAUAUCUACAUUUCCUAUACUAACUCAAUACUAAUUUCCAAAAGAGCAUCGUGAACAGAAGUAUCCCUUGCACCCAGUGGUGGCAUGAAGUGUAGCAGAUGAUACUCCUUGUAAAUAAAUGAAAAGUUCAAAUCAUGAGAGACCAGUGAAUGAAGUAAAGAUAAUUGUUCAUUGAACAAAUGAUGGAGAUGAUCACAAACAAGCAAGCCUAUUUGGAGCAUGUGGGGUGGCUGGUGAGGUCAUCGCUUAUAACUUAAUGUCUAAUAUUUUAAAAACGUAGGGGAAGACUCAGAGCUGUUAUCUUGGCAAAGGGAGGUAGCAUACAGUAUUGACUAACAGGGUUUAAUAAUUUUGCACACCUUUAUUUAACAAAGUUUUUUUUUUUUUUGAUAAACCUGUGUUUUGUUUGCAAUUGUUUGAUAUCCAUAAGAGCAGAGGGUUUUUUGUGAAUUCUUUGAACAAAAGAUCGGUGUUAAGCAAUAAAGACAAUUUUUCAUAGCCUUCUUUGCUCAUAUUUACCAAUAUUAGUGGAGGGAACGGUACAUGUGCAAAAAAAGGUGCAUGUGCAAUGUAAACAUGGAAAAAUGUGUAUGUAUUAAUAUUUACAUUUUGUAAUCAAAUAUAAAUACUAACAAUUUGUACAUCCUGAAACUUCUAUUACAAGAAUUUUUAUUAAGCACUUAGUAGCAUCUGUCUGUUUCUGUGGUUAAAAUUUAAGUGAUAUUCUAGUGGUCAUAUAGCACUCUAUGUGGGUUCUACAACACAGUUACAUCCUGCCCCAUGUCGAGAGAAGUGCUAGAAAAGAGGAAAUCAUUUAAGAUUCUGCAUUUAAAAAAAAAAAAAAAAAAAAAAACAGUAAAGAAAAUGGGGGCUUCUCACACAUGUGUUAAAAGAACUCUUUAUUCAUUCCUGAGUUGUAGUGCAGUAUUGUAAAGUGUUACUGAUUUUUUAGUUUUAUUAGUCUGCAAUCUGAAUUAACAUCGGCAAGUCAAUGUAGCAGCAAUGUAGUAGGGAAUAAAAAUGUACUUUUACUGUUAGUCCCAGAAUCAAACUCGGUGUUUACUCAGGUAAGCUGGUUGCACACUGUGCGAUUUUUAAAAGUCCUUCGCAACUCUUGCUUGUCAGACUGUACGAACAUCAUCCCUGCUGUAAGUCAUGUCACACUGUAGGAUCUCGGUUGUCAUUAAUUUCAGACUGUAUGACAGUCAAGACACGAAAAACAGAUGCACGCAAGAAAACUCGUACGGAGUAGGAGAAGCCACACUACAGGAUGGUGCCUCAAAUCUUCUGACACUACCAGAAUUUAAUCUGAGGAAAAAUUUUAUCACUACGGCCAUUAAUUGGCUAAAAGGCUGAAAUGCAGCAUUUCAGAGCAAAACUAUGAAGGCUUAAGCACAAACUCCUCCUUUUCAGUAGUUAUUACUGCUGAGGAAUUUACUGCUUUUCAAAUAUUAAAAAUAAAUUUAAUAUCAUGCCUCUGCAUAAACAAGUGCAACUGGAAAUACAUUGGGGGUGGGGCUCAUGAAACAUGUUGGGCAAGAGAACAGAUAAACAAGCUAGUACAGUUCAGAUUAAUUAAAAGGUCCAAAUGCUGCAGGUUACAUGAAAACAAAGUAAAAGUGUCUACUCAGAUCUAGUUAAUAUACUUUUUACAAAUUGUCAUGCAUAUUAUCUAGAAAGAAAAAUAAUAUUUUCUAUGCAUAGUAAAACAUAUUACAUAUAAAACAGUUACAAUAUUAAAGGGUAUGCCACUCUAUGAAAAUCUCUUUCUCUUUUUUUGGCUUUUGUAAUCUGGCAUGGUACAUUCAAAGCCAUCCUAGAUUUACUCAAUGGGUGUGUUCUGGUGUAUAGAGUGCAAAUCAGCCAAAACAUCUGUGGCCCAUGCCAGAGGUAACUAAGGAGCAAUUCCAACAAAGUCACUGUUUGUCUAAGCCACUAGUAAAUAUAGCUUAUUUCCGUGAUUAUACCUCCCUUCUCAUUUUAUGAUUUCUGCCAAACCAUGCAGCCUAGAUUUCUCUGUUUAAUGCCACUUUGGGGGCCGUGCCCUGGAAAAUUUUGGGAACCACUGAUCUAGACAUUUAAAUUCAAUGGUAGGCUGGAAUAACAAUAAACAUUCUUUAUCUUGGUCUUAAAAAAUGCAGCUGCAUGGAGAUCGCAACAGAAUGAAUAGCUGCUUUAUAUGAAACAGAAGUGAAUACGAUCCCAGUUGCAUAUGUGUGUGUGUGUGUGUGUGUGUGUGUGUGUGUGUGUGUGUGUCCUGCUAAACAUAUUGUUAUGGAUGGCAUAUUAUCAGAUUGAAACUAAAUUCCAGAAAGUCUGAGUUGCUGUACAUAACUGGAGUUAACUGGCAUCCCCACAUUGAGAUUUUGUGACUUCCCUGUACAGCAACCAGAUCAUCCCAGCCUUUGGGUAGUCCUGGGCAACUAUCUAUCUUUCUCACCUCACACUGCUAACCUGACAAUCAUUUAUAAAGGUUUCUUCUUUAUAACUAUCGUGAACUGCUCCAGAAUGCAGCUGCAAGCCCGGUUUUCAAUCUUCCCAAGCAUCUUAUUGCUACAUUCCCUCUUACAGCUUUCGACGUCAGAUUUAAAACACUCAUGCUCCCCUACAAUGCCAAAAACAGGCGCUUAACACCUUACUCUGCUCCAUAUUCCCUCCGAGUGUCUAGCAUGGACUGACUCAUGGAGCUGCACACAGUUGCUGAACAUAACCAUUGCAGUCCAACCUAAUAUUGGUUCCUUUCUUCUAACUCUUCCUUCCACUUCCAUGUUGCCAAAGUUGUCAAUAAUGAGUCUGGAUUGGACAAUACCAAUAGUGAAUAGUGAUUCAUUGUCACAGCACCACCACUUCCUGGGAACAGGAAGUGAGGCUUACUCAGAAAACAGUACUUCUACUUCGUUACAUUGGACUAUACACCAUCGCUACUUUUACUUGACUAGAAUUUAUUUUUAUUUAAAUUUUUACACUCGGCUGCUUUGGAGUUCUCCUUCAGCGAAUUUCCAACUGAGAGAGUAAGCCUCAGCAGCACCACAAAAUUAGCAGAGGAGUAGCUUGUGUAACUGAAGACAAAUGUACGUGUGUCACCCUCAAAGGAGAAUCUACAUCCCUUGCCUUUUAAAUGACAGGAAACAAUAGUCAUAUUAUGUGCUGCUAACUUUGUUGACAUAAAACUGUGAAUAUCUCAAGCUUCAAAAACAGCACAUCUAAUCUGAGAAAGCAUGUAAUGGUAAGUAAUUUUGGCUAGGCAAUCUAAUGACUGUACUGCUAGAUAUCAAAGUUAACUAAUUCAGCUAGCUCAUCUAGCAUACAUUAUAUAUGUUCAAAGUUCAGUGAUAACUUGCAAACUGCAGAGACAAUCUCCAUGGUAAUGGUAGGGUUAUGUGUCCAAAUGCACCUGCCUUUUAUGCAUUUAACAUACAAAAAAACAUUCCAUACACUUUAGUGUAGGUUUCUCACGCCAAAGUUAGACUAGGUGUAAUCAGAGACAGUUAUGCCAAUGGUAACGGUACAUUAUGUACCCAAAUGCUCCUGCCUUUUAUGCAUUAAACGUACAACAUUAUUUACAACAAUGUUUAAUUUGUUUUGCAAUCAAAUUAUGAAUUAUGCAUCAAGGCCUUGAUGCUCACAUACAAGACCUAGGAUUAGUCUCUCCUUGUGUUCUCUCAUGCAAUCUGUGAUUGGUUAAUGACCGACGCUUAGUAAUGCCUACUCAGCGUGACUCAAGGUUCCUUUCCAGAACCUUCACACUAACUGUUCCUCAGUGGUGGAAUGAACUUCCAACCUCAAUCCGGACCACAGAAUCUGUCACAUUUUCAAAACAACAGCUAAAGACCAACCUAUUCCAUGAGCACGUAACUAACCCCUAAAAUGCUAAACCCCACAUUAUUUAUAAAAAUAAAUAAAUAAAUAAAAAGUAAAAAUAAAUAAAUAAAUAAAUAAAAUUUACUCUGGCACUUACAGCUCUACUCUUUGCUUCUCUAGAACUCAAUUAUAAAUCUUGUAUGGUAGCACUACUUGUAUUGUUCUCCACUUGAUAUAUCGCUUUGCAUGUAUUUCCUCAUUUAUAAGUAGCUUUGGAUAAAAGUGUCUGCUAAAUGAAAAAUGUAAAUGUAGAUGCCAAGUAUCAAGUAUGCACAUGCACAAUGCAGACUGUAUCUGAGCCUCUGUUUUAAGGAUUCAGUUUAGUUUUUGUUUUGAUGUUACUUUCUGUUGCUUAACAACAUAUAUUUUGGCAUUUGCCUGGUCAUGUUUAAUAAAUUGCAAAAUAUGAAGUUACUCACUAGUCACUAUAGUAGUUUUUUUUAUAAGAAGCUUUUUAACUCUUACUCAAAUACUUAUCUUUAUCAGUACUUUUAUUUCUACUUGAGUCAUUAUAAGUAAAAGUAACAAUACUUUUACUUGAGUAGUGUUUCUGUUUACUCUACCCACAACUGGUCAUUGACUGCAAAUGAUUUACAUCCAAGUAUGAAAAAUAAUAUUAACAACAACAACAACAAUAAUAAUAAUAAUCUUUAUUUUAUAGAACGGUUUUAAAAGCAGCUUCUCAAAGCACUGUAAACAAAAUAAGCAGUACACAGAAAAAAUUAAAAUUGAUAAAAGUUAAUAAUAAUAAUAAAAGUAGACAUCAGCAGUCAAAUGCCAGUUUAAAAAAAAGUAUGUCUUGAGUUGAGCUUUAACAAUGCCAAAGGUCUGAGCUUCCCUAAAUUCAAGAGGAAGAGAGUUCCAAAGGGAAGGAGCAGAGACAGAAAAAGCCCUGUCACCCAUAGAUUUUAAGCGAGUUUGUGGAACAGUUAACAAAUUACACUGUGAGGAGCGCAGUCUGCGAUUUGGGGUGUAAGAGAUUAAUAAAGCAGAUAUGUAAUUAGGAGCCAAGCCAUGUAAUGCUUUGUAUGUCAGCAUCAUAAUUUUAAAAUCGACAUGGAAGCUGACCGGGAGCCAGUGCAAGGAGUCCGGAACAGGAGUAAUACGAUUGUAUUUCCUGGUCCCAGUCAGGAUCCGGGCAGCAGAGUUUUGUAGACGUUUAUUGAGUGUGGAUUUAGACACUCCGGCUAAAACGGCAUUACAAUAAUCUAGCCGAGUGACAACAAAUGAGAUUAUCUGCCUUUCAGCUACAGAGAAGUUUAGCAUGGGCCGCAGUCUUGCUAUAUUUCUGAGGUGAAAAAAGGAUGUUAAUGAUAAUGUUUAAUGAUAAUCCUGAUGUUUAUGAUUGUUAGUUUAUCCAAUUACUUUUGAGUCUGUGAAAAUGGAGGGACUAAAAGGUUAAUGAAAUGUUUUUUUGUUAAACCCCUUGAAUUAAAGCUGAAAGUCUACACUUCAAUCAUAUCUUGAUUGCUUCAUUUCAAAUCCACUGUGGUGGUGUACAGAGGAAAAAUGUAUAAUUAAUAUAAAUAUAAUAAAUAAAUUUGCAUGUGAUGACUCAUAAUUCCACUCAAAUGAAAUGUGCUGAUAAAGAGUAAAAUUUCUGACUUGACAGACACCUUCUGAAAGUGUUGUUUAAUUCCACUGUAGGCCAUAAAGUGUGGAUCAAAGUUCUCUGGAUAAGUGAGUCUGCCAAAUGCUGUAAGACACAUGCCUACCAAAGAUUGUAGUGGAUGGGAGAGGUCAGAGGAACAGCACAGGUUCCCAACCUUCGACCUGGAGUACCCUCUGUCUUAACUAACUGGCUAACAGUUUCCUGAGCUGAAGUAGGUGUGGUAGGGCAAGGAGAACACUAACAUGCUGUAUCUGUCGCUGUAAUGCACUAAUGGAAAAUCUUAUCUGAUUAUUUUUGCUGCCUAAAUCCUCUGUUUUGUUUUUAAUGCGCAACAAAUGGAUCUUUAGUAUACAGUGCACCAAACAUUACAUCAUACGGUGUUGUAUGUGUUAAUGUUGUAUGUCUUAUCUACUGUAGUAAAUCUUAGCCCUCCUUAGAAAAUAUUCUGAUCCAACCCUAGUGCAUUUGCAUUCCCUAAACUUUGUAACCAAAUCUUUGGCAACAUGUGUAUCUAUUAUUGUUUGGCAGGUCAAUAAAUGAGCCUGAAGCAGAAAUAAAAUCAAGACACUUCGUAUCUCAGAGCAGUCGGCAGUGAUAUGCUUUAAAAU